UACGGGGGGAGCAAGCGUUGUUCGGAUUUACUGGGCGUAAAGGGUGCGUAGGCGGUCGUGCAAGUCGGAUGUGAAAUCUCAGGGCUCAACCCUGAAACUGCAUUCGAUACUGCGUGGCUAGAGUGCUGGAGAGGAGACUGGAAUUUACGGUGUAGCAGUGAAAUGCGUAGAUAUCGUAAGGAAGACCAGUGGCGAAGGCGAGUCUCUGGACAGCAACUGACGCUGAGGCACGAAGGCCAGGGGAGCAAACGGG
This 253-nucleotide ribosomal RNA is filed under the name uncultured bacterium. RNAcentral describes it as "partial 16S ribosomal RNA". It matches the Rfam family "Bacterial small subunit ribosomal RNA", at positions 524 to 776 of the family's 1533-position model. The record is from RNAcentral.